This 497-nucleotide ribosomal RNA is filed under the name uncultured bacterium. RNAcentral's name for it is "partial 16S ribosomal RNA". It matches the Rfam family "Bacterial small subunit ribosomal RNA", at positions 28 to 507 of the family's 1533-position model. The record is from RNAcentral.
GAUGAACGCUGGCGGCGUGCCUAAUACAUGCCAGUCGAGCGAACAGACGAGGAGCUUGCUCCUCUGACGUUAGCGGCGGACGGGUUAGUAACACGUGGAUAACCUACCUAUAAGACUGGGAUAACUUCGGGAAACCGGAGCUAAUACCGGAUAAUAUAUUGAACCGCAUGGUUCAAUAGUGAAAGACGGUUUUGCUGUCACUUAUAGAUGGAUCCGCGCCGCAUUAGCUAGUUGGUAAGGUAACGGCUUACCAAGGCAACGAUGCGUAGCCGACCUGAGAGGGUGAUCGGCCACACUGGAACUGAGACACGGUCCAGACUCCUACGGGAGGCAGCAGUAGGGAAUCUUCCGCAAUGGGCGAAAGCCUGACGGAGCAACGCCGCGUGAGUGAUGAAGGUCUUCGGAUCGUAAAACUCUGUUAUUAGGGAAGAACAAAUGUGUAAGUAACUAUGCACGUCUUGACGGUACCUAAUCAGAAAGCCACGGCUAACUACGUG